UCCUACGGGAGGCAGCAGUGGGGAAUAUUGCACAAUGGGGGAAACCCUGAUGCAGCCAUGCCGCGUGUGUGAAGAAGGCCUUCGGGUUGUAAAGCACUUUCAGUUGUGAGGAAAAGUUAGUAGUUAAUACCUGCUAGCCGUGACGUUAACAACAGAAGAAGCACCGGCUAACUCCGUGCCAGCAGCCGCGGUAAUACGGAGGGUGCGAGCGUUAAUCGGAAUUACUGGGCGUAAAGCGCACGCAGGCGGUUUGUUAAGCUAGAUGUGAAAGCCCCGGGCUCAACCUGGGAUGGUCAUUUAGAACUGGCAGACUAGAGUCUUGGAGAGGGGAGUGGAAUUCCAGGUGUAGCGAUGAAAUGCGUAGAUAUCUGGAGGAACAUCAGUGGCGAAGGCGACUCCCUGGCCAAAGACUGACGCUCAUGUGCGAAAGUAUGGGUAGCGAACAGGAUUAGAUACCCUGGUAGUCCACACCGUAAACGCUGUCUACUAGCUGUGUGUGUCUUUAAGACGUGCGUAGCGAAGCUAACGCGCUAAGUAGACCGCCUGGGGAGUACGGCCGCAAGGUUAAAACUCAAAUGAAUUGACGG
Molecule: ribosomal RNA, 587 nt
Filed under: uncultured bacterium
Lineage: Bacteria
Description: bacterial SSU rRNA
Rfam family: Bacterial small subunit ribosomal RNA
Source: RNAcentral